Molecule: long non-coding RNA, 1085 nt
Organism: Schistocerca americana (American grasshopper)
Lineage: Eukaryota; Metazoa; Arthropoda; Insecta; Orthoptera; Acrididae
Exons: 3
Source: RefSeq, a predicted model, not a curated record
UACUUAUACUACGAGCUUAACUUCAAUUUAAAAGCUCGCGAAGAAUUAUGUACACUAUAAGGUUUGUAGAAACGUUCCUAAGGUACAUACGAGUUAAUUGCUAACAAUAAACAUUUGUUUCAUUAUUUCCUUUCGCAUCCCGAAAAGAAAAUGAAAAGCACGAAUUUGUACUGGUGCUGACAUCAAACGGCAGGAAUAUGCUACUCGUACUCAUGCCUGUUGACACGAAUCGCCAACAGAUGUCAGGAGACUAACUUUCCAUUGGUCGCUUGAUCUGGAACGACGCGGUGCAGACGGUGCAAAACGCCUUGUCGUUUCUGUUUUCGCACUUCGCACUUUCGCAGUGAUCUUAGUCAAUUAGCCACGUGUGGAUGUAUGCGUGAGUUGAGAAGAUUGUGUUUGUUUAUGGCGUCAAGGAUGAGAACUAAUUUCUUGUGUUGAAAACAUCGAACUCGAAUACUGUGCAGCACCGAAUUAUAGGAGAAUGAAACAAAUAUAUGAGGCCAUUCUGCAGAAAAAAAAUCGUAGAGCAAAACGCCACUGAAAUGAUUAGGCCUACUGAUGAGACAUUUGAACAGCAAAGGAUGCCAUGCAGCAGAAGUGAAGAUUGGAUUGUAAAUCUGCUGUUGCAAAACAAGACUAGAAACAGAGGCAUUGCUUCGUCAAGUGGACAUGACCAUAUUUAUUGUGUGCCCAGUUGUUGAGAAACUGGGUUCUCUGCAAAAGAUGAGGAAAACCCUCACACUGUAGUGGAGUCACACCAUCAAGUACAUGUUGCUGUGAAUAUUUGGGUUUGCAUUGUAGGCAACAACUUCAUUGGCCCAUAUCUUCCACCUGGCCAUGUGAAUGGCCACCUUUACUUGAGGUUUAUGCAAAGAGCUCUACCUGAGUUAUUGGAGCACAUAUUCUUGGCCGUUCAUGAGAGCACUUCAGUAUGGAUGUCUGCAGCCAUCUCUCAGUGCUGUAUUUCCUGGGUACUAGAUUGGAAGGGGUGGUCCUACUCCAUGGCCUGCAAGAUCACCUGACCUGUAUCCCCUUUAUUACACUCCUGGAAAUGGAAAAAAGAACACAUUGACACCGGUGUG